RNAcentral lists this non-coding RNA (191 nucleotides) under Devosia soli. Lineage: Bacteria; Pseudomonadati; Pseudomonadota; Alphaproteobacteria; Hyphomicrobiales; Devosiaceae. The record is from RNAcentral.
CAUUUUCGAUCCGUCCAUGGUCCCCGCGAGGGGAUAAUAGGGAAGCCGGUCCGGGAUCCAUCCCAAGUCCGGCGCUGCCCCCGCAACUGUCGGCGGAGACGGCGCUUCAUUGUCCACUGGCCGUCGGCUGGGAAGGCGAAGCGCCGGUUUGAUCCGCAAGCCAGGAGACCUGCCACGGACUGAAAAUCCAU